UACAGAGGGCCCAAGCGUUGUUCGGAUUCACUGGGCGUAAAGGGUGCGUAGGCGGUCGGGCAAGUCUGAUGUGAAAUCUCACAGCUUAACUGUGAAACUGCAUUGGAUACUGUCCGGCUAGAGGACCGGAGAGGAUAGUGGAAUUCCCAGUGUAGUGGUGAAAUACGUAGAGAUUGGGAAGAACACCAGUGGCGAAGGCGGCUAUCUGGACGGUUUCUGACACUAAGACUCGAAAGCGUGGGGAGCAAACAGG
Molecule: ribosomal RNA, 253 nt
Filed under: uncultured bacterium
Lineage: Bacteria
Description: partial 16S ribosomal RNA
Rfam family: Bacterial small subunit ribosomal RNA
Source: RNAcentral